Molecule: ribosomal RNA, 1375 nt
Filed under: uncultured prokaryote
Description: partial 16S ribosomal RNA
Rfam family: Bacterial small subunit ribosomal RNA
Source: RNAcentral
UGGCUCAGAUUGAACGCUAGCGGCAUGCUUAACACAUGCAAGUCGAACGGUAACAGCAGAGCUUGCUCUGGCUGACGAGUGGCGGACGGGUGAGUAAUGCUUAGGAAUCUGCCCAGUAGCGGGGGACAACAUGGGGAAAACCAUGCUCGCAUACGCCCUACGGGGGAAAGCAGGGGAUCUUCGGACCUUGCACUAUUGGAUGAGCCUAAGUCAGAUUAGCUUGUUGGUGGGGUAAAAGCCUACCAAGGCGACGAUCUGUAGCUGGUCUGAGAGGACGAUCAGCCACACUGGAACUGAGACACGGUCCAGACUCCUACGGGAGGCAGCAGUGGGGAAUAUUGCACAAUGGGGGAAACCCUGAUGCAGCAAUGCCGCGUGUGUGAAGAAGGCCUCCGGGUUGUAAAGCACUUUCAAGUUGUGAGGAAAACAUAAUGGUUAAUACCCAUUAGAUGUGACGUUAGCAACAGAAGAAGGACCGGCUAACUCCGUGCCAGCAGCCGCGGUAAUACGGAGGGUCCGAGCGUUAAUCGGAAUUACUGGGCGUAAAGCGCACGCAGGCGGUUUGUUAAGCUAGAUGUGAAAGCCCCGGGCUCAACCUGGGAAUAGCAUUUAGAACUGGCAGGCUAGAGUCUUGGAGAGGGGAGUGGAAUUUCUGGUGUAGCGGUGAAAUGCGUAGAUAUCAGAAGGAACAUCAGUGGCGAAGGCGACUCCCUGGCCAAAGACUGACGCUCAUGUGCGAAAGUGUGGCUAGCGCGCUGUCUACUAGCUGUUUGUGGAUUUAAUCCGUGAGUAGCGAAGCUAACGCGAUAAGUAGACCGCCUGGGGAGUACGGCCGCAAGGUUAAAACUCAAAUGAAUUGACGGGGGCCCGCACAAGCGGUGGAGCAUGUGGUUUAAUUCGAUACAACGCGAAGAACCUUACCUACUCUUGACAUACUAGAAACUUUUCAGAGAUGAAUUGGUGCCUUCGGGAAUCUAGAUACAGGUGCUGCAUGGCUGUCGUCAGCUCGUGUCGUGAGAUGUUGGGUUAAGUCCCGCAACGAGCGCAACCCUUGUCCUUAGUUGCCAGCCUUAAGUUGGGCACUCUAUGGAGACUGCCGGUGACAAACCGGAGGAAGGUGGGGACGACGUCAAGUCAUCAUGGCCCUUACGAGUAGGGCUACACACGUGCUACAAUGGCGAGGACAGAGGGAAGCGAACCUGCGAGGGUAAGCGGAUCCAUUAAAGCUCGUCGUAGUCCGGAUUGGAGUCUGCAACUCGACUCCAUGAAGUCGGAAUCGCUAGUAUUCGCAAAUCAGAAUGUUGCGGUGAAUACGUUCCCGGGCCUUGUACACACCGCCCGUCACACCAUGGGAGUGGGAUGCAAAAGAAUUAGG